CAGGGAAUAAAUCAAUAGGUAGAUUAUCUGCUUUGGGAGCGGGAGGUUAUGGGUUCAAAUCCCGUUUUCUUGA
This 73-nucleotide transfer RNA is filed under the name Negombata magnifica. Its description in RNAcentral is "transfer RNA-Pro (UGG)". It matches the Rfam family "tRNA". Rfam says of the family: Transfer RNA (tRNA) molecules are approximately 80 nucleotides in length. Their secondary structure includes four short double-helical elements and three loops (D, anti-codon, and T loops). The record is from RNAcentral. Lineage: Eukaryota; Metazoa; Porifera; Demospongiae; Poecilosclerida; Latrunculiidae.